AGUGAACGCUGGCGGUAGGCCUAACACAUGCAAGUCGAACGGCAGCACAGGAGAGCUUGCUCUCUGGGUGGCGAGUGGCGGACGGGUGAGGAAUACAUCGGAAUCUACUUUUUCGUGGGGGAUAACGUAGGGAAACUUACGCUAAUACCGCAUACGACCUACGGGUGAAAGCAGGGGACCUUCGGGCCUUGCGCGAUUGGAUGAGCCGAUGUCGGAUUAGCUAGUUGGCGGGGUAAAGGCCCACCAAGGCGACGAUCCGUAGCUGGUCUGAGAGGAUGAUCAGCCACACUGGAACUGAGACACGGUCCAGACUCCUACGGGAGGCAGCAGUGGGGAAUAUUGGACAAGGGGCGCAAGCCUGAUCCAGCCAUACCGCGUGGGUGAGGAAGGCCUUCGGGUUGUAAAGCCCUUUUGUUGGGAAAGAAAUCCAGCUGGCUAAUACCCGGUUGGGAUGACGGUACCCAAAGAAUAAGCACCGGCUAACUUCGUGCCAGCCGCCGCCGUAA
RNAcentral lists this ribosomal RNA (506 nucleotides) under uncultured bacterium. RNAcentral's name for it is "partial 16S ribosomal RNA". It matches the Rfam family "Bacterial small subunit ribosomal RNA", at positions 29 to 523 of the family's 1533-position model. The record is from RNAcentral.